GACCCCAUCGUCCAGAGGCCUAGGACUUCGGACUUUCGAUCCGACAACAGGGGUUCGAAUCCCCUUGGGGUCGCCA
This 76-nucleotide transfer RNA is filed under the name Candidatus Tritonobacter lacicola. RNAcentral describes it as "tRNA-Glu". It matches the Rfam family "tRNA". From Rfam's summary of the family: Transfer RNA (tRNA) molecules are approximately 80 nucleotides in length. Their secondary structure includes four short double-helical elements and three loops (D, anti-codon, and T loops). Lineage: Bacteria; Pseudomonadati; Candidatus Auribacterota; Candidatus Tritonobacteria; Candidatus Tritonobacterales; Candidatus Tritonobacteraceae. The record is from RNAcentral.